AACGCAAAUUGCACUCUCCGGUUUUCCGGGAGAGUAUGCCUGUUUGAGGGUCAGCCUAAAAAAAAUCGACGUCGUUGCUGGUUUUCGUGGUGACUUUCGUCGGAGAUUGGGUCAUCUUAAACCUUUUUCGGGUUUAAGCGAUUUAAAAAUUUUUUUUUACGAUUUCGAGAACGUUUCUAAGAUUUUUUCUUAUACGUUUAAGGGAUCGAAUGUCUUAUUAGACGUGACCGUCGCAUCGGAUCGCGUUCAUAAAUUUUUCGUUAACUGACCUCAGACAGGUAAGAGUACCCGCUGAACUUAA
Molecule: unclassified non-coding RNA, 301 nt
Filed under: uncultured fungus
Lineage: Eukaryota; Fungi
Description: partial contains 5.8S ribosomal RNA, internal transcribed spacer 2, and large subunit ribosomal RNA
Source: RNAcentral